AAGAAAGACCCAGGGAUGGAGGCUGGAGCUUAGGAACCACUGGAAAAACUGUCAGAUCAAACUUAGGAUAAGCAGCACAGUAGAUACCAUCGCCUCGCUUCACAAGAAGAAAAGCUGAGGCUCAGAGAUGGGAAGUGACACAAGUCUUAGGGAAGAUGGGCUUCUGCCCCCGGCUCCCAACUCCCUCCCCAACACGCCCCCUCUUUCUUUCUCCCUCUUAACCUGUUUACCUCGUUGAGGGAGGGAAAGGAGGGCAGGAAGCAUGACUCACACCACAGAGUGCGGUUUUUUGGUAUAGAAAGUUGGGGACAGAGAUGGAGGCUGAUGGUUGAGGUUCUGAGAAAGCAGAGGUGACAGAGGUGGAACAAGAUGCUGAUGGCAGAGUGGAGACCAGGGCAAAAAACGAGGCUGUCACGACUGGGGACAGGCAGGAUGCCUGGGCUCGGAGAAAGGGUUGGGGGACCAAGG
RNAcentral lists this long non-coding RNA (468 nucleotides) under Marmota monax (woodchuck). Lineage: Eukaryota; Metazoa; Chordata; Mammalia; Rodentia; Sciuridae. The record is from RNAcentral.